Molecule: ribosomal RNA, 253 nt
Filed under: uncultured bacterium
Lineage: Bacteria
Description: partial 16S ribosomal RNA
Rfam family: Bacterial small subunit ribosomal RNA
Source: RNAcentral
UACAGAGGGGGCAAGCGUUGUUCGGAAUUACUGGGCGUAAAGGGCGCGUAGGCGGCCUUCUAAGUCGAACGUGAAAUCCCCGGGCUCAACCCGGGAACUGCGUCCGAUACUGGAAGGCUAGAAUCCGGGAGAGGGAUGCGGAAUUCCAGGUGUAGCGGUGAAAUGCGUAGAUAUCUGGAGGAACACCGGUGGCGAAGGCGGCAUCCUGGACCGGUAUUGACGCUGAGGCGCGAAAGCCAGGGGAGCGAACGGG